This 1099-nucleotide long non-coding RNA is filed under the name Salvator merianae (Argentine black and white tegu). Its description in RNAcentral is "lncRNA (ENSSMRG00000001176.1)". The record is from RNAcentral. Lineage: Eukaryota; Metazoa; Chordata; Lepidosauria; Squamata; Teiidae.
GUGUGAAGUUCGACAGCAGAUCGCAAAGCGACGUGGCACAGUGGGCACCAGUGAGCCUGUCAAGACAGCGCCUGGCAUCCAAGAGGGCCCAGGGCUAUGAUGUGCCAGUGGCGAGAGGGCGUGGCCUUGGUUCUCGCUCCUCGCCUGCGUGGGACGGCCUUGUGGCCAGCGGGGUUCAUCCCUGCGCGGUUUCCUGCUGCCUGGUUCUGCUGAUGUGAAGCNCGUGGUGGAGGUCGCCGAGGGCGCCAGGCAUGGAUUCGGAGGACCGGGGCCUGGACCCCCCCAGCCCAGGCUGGGCUGCUCCGGCGCAGAAGGUUGUGGUGAAGGCGGAACCAGAGGAGGAGGUGCGCAUCGGGUGCCCGGNGGUCCCAGCUGAGGAGGAGCAGAAGGCGUCCUCUGACCCCACNGCAGGUGAGGAGAGCAGGUGUUUCUGCCUUGCGGCCGGAGGGUGGACAUGGGGGUCCGGCCCCUCAGCUGCCCCCCCACUCCUCCUUCGCUCAAGGGUUCGUUUGCCAGUCGGACCGGGUGCAGAGGAGGAGAUUUGCUGACUGUGGCGAACGAGCCCAAGGCACGCUUCGUCCGAGGAAGCCGCAGAGCAGCGUCCGUCUCAACGGUCCACAGUCAGAAACCAAACACCACUAGCGCAGGUCCUUAGGCAAGACCCACGCGGGCGUGAGGAACACGCCAGGGUCGGAGNGCUGGAUUUGGCCCAGGAGCAGGGCAGCGCCUCCUGGCCCGUGAGGACUUCAAGGCCGGGAAAUGCAAGUUUAGAUACGGGCCUGUUAAAGGAAGUGCUGGCCAUGGCCCCAGAAGCAGGCCAUUUGGGAGCCUCCGCGUAGCGGCGCUGGGCUGUCCACAGCCGUGGGGCCUCGGCAUGAUGGCUGCAGGAGCGCGUGAGGCCUGUGCUCGGUUUUGCAGAGCGGGGCGUAUUGCUGCCAGGAGUGGAUUCUGCCCCUGGAGCAGUCUGGGUGCCUGUCGUGGGCCUGAAUACUGCCGGAGCACUGAUAAGGAUGGGCUGUCGAAAGAGGAUAUCGUUUGUUGAAUGACAGGGAGCAAGUAAGGAAAUAAACUUAGAUGUCAGCCUACUCCUCUUGUUGAG